Long non-coding RNA from Eptesicus fuscus (big brown bat), 678 nucleotides. RefSeq lists it as uncharacterized. NCBI's taxonomy places the organism in Eukaryota, Metazoa, Chordata, Mammalia, Chiroptera, Vespertilionidae. The record is from RefSeq and is a predicted model, not a curated record. The transcript is spliced from 4 exons.
GCGGCAGCAAGUGGAGGCCUGGUUUAAAUCAAGCCUUUCUCGCAUUGAAUGACCCCAGCCCUCCCUAGAUCAGGCAGUUUUAUGUGGAAUGCAAUCUCCACGCAAUACAACUGGGCUCCAGUUUCAUCCCUGGUGAUCUCAUGUGCAUUAGCUCGGAGCAGCGGGGAAGGAAGGGAAAAGGCAUCACGUGGGGCAGCUCUGCAGGAUUAACCUGGUGUACUGACUUCCUGAAAUCAUGCAAAAUUGAAUGAGUAUACGCAUUUUUGUUCUAAUCUACAUUGUUUUCAUCAUUUCCAGUCUCAUCCAUGAAAGAGAGAAAGAAGAGGAGGAGAGAGAGAUUGGCCAGAAACAACAAUGACAGAGGAUCAUUGAUCAGCUGGGAAUUGAACACUGAGAAUUGAACAUUGAUUUCCUGGUUCAUAGGUUGAUACACAACCGAUGAGACACACGUGCUGGAGGAAGGCAGAGGGAGAUGUGACUACAGCACCAGGCAAUGUGACCACUCAAGCAAAAUGCUGCUGGAUGGAGGAUGGAGGCUGGAGCCAAAAAUCAAAGAAUGCAGCUACAGAAGCUGGAAAAGGCAAGGAAACUGCUUCUCUCCCAGUCCCCUGGUGGGCGGGUGGCCCAGCCCACACCUUCAUUUCCACCCAGUGAAACUGAUUUCUGACUUAAGACUUC